This 253-nucleotide ribosomal RNA is filed under the name uncultured bacterium. RNAcentral describes it as "partial 16S ribosomal RNA". It matches the Rfam family "Bacterial small subunit ribosomal RNA", at positions 524 to 776 of the family's 1533-position model. The record is from RNAcentral.
UACGUAGGGUGCGAGCGUUAAUCGGAAUUACUGGGCGUAAAGUGUGCGCAGGCGGCGUCGCAAGUCGAGUGUGAAAGCCCCGAGCUUAACUUGGGAAUUGCGCUCGAAACUACGAUGCUGGAGUGUGACAGAGGAAGGUGGAAUUCCACGUGUAGCGGUGAAAUGCGUAGAGAUGUGGAGGAACACCGAUGGCGAAGGCAGCCUUCUGGGCCAACACUGACGCUCAUGCACGAAAGCGUGGGGAGCAAACAGG